Molecule: non-coding RNA, 934 nt
Organism: Pelecanus crispus (Dalmatian pelican)
Lineage: Eukaryota; Metazoa; Chordata; Aves; Pelecaniformes; Pelecanidae
Source: RefSeq, a predicted model, not a curated record
AGACACUAGGUGGAGGCCUUGGGCUGCCGUUUCACUGCAGUCGCUGAAGGCAGAAAGAGCAGAAGACUUGUGCUUUCAGAAGGGAGAUCUUUUUCUUUUCUCGCUGCGCUCACAUGCUAGAAAGGAAAGGUCCAAGCUCUCCAGGUGUGGAAUGGGAUGAACGGAGGAAUGGAGGAGAAGCGUCUGUCCCAUCCCAGGUCCUCCCUGCAACAGGAUUUUUGCAUUGACUUCGAGAGCUCCAUGGCUGCUCUGCAGACAGAUGCACAAUUGUGAAACAUCAAUAUGGACUGCAAAUCUGUACUGUCAGUCAGCUUCUCUUCCCCUCUGCAUAACGUAAUCCCUAGCUCCACAAUGCCUGCACAGAUACACAUUUGCAAAGAUUUUUUUCUGGAGAUAGCAUGCAUAGCAAGCCCUCCUUUACUUGUUCUCAUCUCUAGCAACAUUAUAUGGUGUUUCAGUUCACAGUUCACUGUGUUCCCCCACCUACCACUGAAAUGCAGCCAACUCUGAGCUGCGGCUAUUAAGCAUCACACAGCAACACCACAAAACAGAUUGUGGAAAGCAAAGGAAUUCAGAGAAAAGCAACAAACUGAGUGAGGACUGCAAGGGUUGUCUGGGAAGUGAUAUCAAAGGGUUAUAGGGAAUGAGUAGCGGUCAAUAGUGAUGCAGAAUAGCCAUCACCUUGAUAUUCAGGUGAUACCAGCAUGCAAGGGAGAGCUUUUGAGGGUGGCACAAAGAGAUGUCACUAGGAGUAGUCAGGUUUCAGCCAGGAAGGUGAGCAGGUCAGCUUCCCUAACCACUGAGUUUUGUCAGGCUGUCAGAGUCCCAAGGAAAGGGCUGCAGGCGUCAUUGCUUGAGGGUUUUAAAACUUGUCAAAGUUUGAAGACAGGACAAGGCAGUAUCAGGACAGGUGAAUUAAACGAGAUGGGGCAAA